UCCCGUCUGGGUUCCAAUAGAUGACGC
Molecule: small RNA, 27 nt
Filed under: Bombyx mori (domestic silkworm)
Lineage: Eukaryota; Metazoa; Arthropoda; Insecta; Lepidoptera; Bombycidae
Description: ovarian small RNA-27343
Source: RNAcentral